Molecule: ribosomal RNA, 253 nt
Filed under: uncultured bacterium
Lineage: Bacteria
Description: partial 16S ribosomal RNA
Rfam family: Bacterial small subunit ribosomal RNA
Source: RNAcentral
UACAGAGGUCUCAAGCGUUGUUCGGAUUCAUUGGGCGUAAAGAGCGUGUAGGCGGCCAGGUAGGUCUGCUGUGAAAACUCGAGGCUCAACCUCGAGACGCCGAUGGAAACCAUUUGGCUAGAGUCCGGAAGAGGAGAGUGGAACUGCGAGUGUAGAGGUGAAAUUCGUAGAUAUUCGCAAGAACACCAGUGGCGAAGGCGGCUCACUGGCCCGGUACUGACGCUGAGGUGCGAAAGCGUGGGGAGCAAACAGG